This 406-nucleotide unclassified non-coding RNA is filed under the name soil metagenome. RNAcentral describes it as "partial contains 5.8S ribosomal RNA, internal transcribed spacer 2, and large subunit ribosomal RNA". The stretch from base 1 to 121 matches the Rfam family "5.8S ribosomal RNA", at positions 35 to 154 of the family's 154-position model. The record is from RNAcentral.
GAUGAAGAACGUAGUGAAAUGCGAUAAGUAAUGUGAAUUGCAGAAUUCAGUGAAUCAUCGAAUCUUUGAACGCACCUUGCGCCCUUUGGCCAUUCCGAAGGGCAUGCCUGUUUGAGUAUCAUGAACACCUCAACUCUUCAUGGUUUUCCAUGAUGAGCUUGGACUUUGGGGGUCUUGCUGGCCUGUGGGUCGGCUCCUCUCAAAUGAAUCAGCUUGCCGGUUUUUGGUGGGCAUCACAGGUGUGAUAACUAUCUACGCUUGUGGUUUUCCACCAGGGUUACCUUCAGCAGUGGAGGUUCACUGGAGCUUACAAAUGUCUCUCCUCUGUGAGGACAGCCCUUUGAAUGUUUGAUCUCAAAUCAGGUAGGACUACCCGCUGAACUUAAGCAUAUCAAUAAGCGGAGGA